CACGUAGGGUGCAAGCGUUGUCCGGAAUCAUUGGGCGUAAAGAGCUCGUAGGCGGCUUAGUAAGUCGGGUGUGAAAACUCUAGGCUCAACCUAGAGACGCCACCCGAUACUGCUAUAGCUAGAAUCCAGUAGGGGAGUGUGGAAUUCCCAGUGUAGCGGUGAAAUGCGCAGAUAUUGGGAGGAACACCAGCGGCGAAGGCGGCACUCUGGGCUGGUAUUGACGCUGAGGCGCGAAAGCGUGGGGAGCGAACAGG
This 254-nucleotide ribosomal RNA is filed under the name uncultured bacterium. Its description in RNAcentral is "partial 16S ribosomal RNA". It matches the Rfam family "Bacterial small subunit ribosomal RNA", at positions 524 to 776 of the family's 1533-position model. The record is from RNAcentral.